UCUCUCUGUGUGUGAGUGUGUGAAGUGACCCUGGCUCUUGUUUUUCUUUCUUACCCAGAUCUGCACCAAAAACAGCGCGGGGAACCACACUAACCACCCUCACAUGGACUGUGUCAUAACGGGCAGGCCCUGCUGCAUCGGCACCAAGGGCAGGUGGGUGCUCCCGUGUAGCUGGCUCAGAGCAGCACUUUUCUCCCUCAUAAAAGCCCGACAUAACCCGAUUCCCAGUCACAAGGAGUAAGACUGGGCCAGUGGAGGCGGGUGGGUCUGAGAUCCUCCCGAGUAGUGGGCAGGCGUCCGUAGACCUCAGCAGCCUCCAUCUGCCAGGCUGGGCGCCCUCCAAACCCUGGCGUGACCCUCUAGGUGUGAGAUCACCUCCCGGGAGUACUGUGACUUCAUGAAGGGCUACUUCCAUGAGGAGGCCACACUCUGCUCUCAGGUAGGCCUUGAGGGCACGCCCCUCUCCGCCCCCGCCCACUGUGGAGGCUGACCAGCCCCUCUGCACAGGUGCACUGCAUGGACGAUGUCUGUGGCCUCCUGCCUUUCCUCAAUCCCGAGGUGCCUGACCAGUUCUACCGCCUGUGGCUGUCCCUCUUCCUGCACGCUGGGCAAGUGGGACUGGGGGCUGGGCUGGUGGUCUCAUGCCCUAGGAGUAGUGGGACUGGAGGCAAAAGGGAAGCCGCCUUCUCUGCUGAGUGCCCCUCAC
This 706-nucleotide long non-coding RNA is filed under the name Rattus norvegicus (Norway rat). RNAcentral's name for it is "long non-coding RNA NONRATT004132". Lineage: Eukaryota; Metazoa; Chordata; Mammalia; Rodentia; Muridae. The record is from RNAcentral.